Molecule: small nuclear RNA, 104 nt
Filed under: Ovis aries (sheep)
Lineage: Eukaryota; Metazoa; Chordata; Mammalia; Artiodactyla; Bovidae
Source: RNAcentral
GUGCUCGCUUCAGCAGCACAUAUACUAAAAUUGGAAAGAUACAGAGAUUAGCAUGGCCCCUGCACAAGGAUGACACACAAAUUCGUGAAGCAUUCCAUAUUUUU